RNAcentral lists this transfer RNA (75 nucleotides) under Cytophagales bacterium. RNAcentral describes it as "tRNA-Val". It matches the Rfam family "tRNA". From Rfam's summary of the family: Transfer RNA (tRNA) molecules are approximately 80 nucleotides in length. RNAcentral also lists the same sequence under 1 other name. The record is from RNAcentral. Lineage: Bacteria; Pseudomonadati; Bacteroidota; Cytophagia; Cytophagales.
GGGUUGUUAGCUCAGUUGGUUUAGAGCACUGCCUUGACAGGGCAGGGGUCGCUAGUUCGAAUCUAGUACAACCCA